UACGGGGGGGGCAAGCGUUGUUCGGAGUUACUGGGCGUAAAGGGCUCGUAGGCGGCCAACUAAGUCGGACGUGAAAUCCCUCGGCUUAACCGGGGAACUGCGUCCGAUACUGGAUGGCUUGAGUUUGGGAGAGGGAUGUGGAAUUCCAGGUGUAGCGGUGAAAUGCGUAGAUAUCUGGAGGAACACCGGUGGCGAAGGCGACAUCCUGGACCGGCAUUGACGCUGAGGCGCGAAAGCCAGGGGAGCAAACGGG
Molecule: ribosomal RNA, 253 nt
Filed under: uncultured bacterium
Lineage: Bacteria
Description: partial 16S ribosomal RNA
Rfam family: Bacterial small subunit ribosomal RNA
Source: RNAcentral